AAAACAUCGCCUCUAGUACACCCAUUGGAGGUCCAUUCUGCCCUAUGAAACUAUUUUAAAUGGCCGCGGUACCCUGACCGUGCUAAGGUAGCAUAAUAAUUUGCCUCUUAAUUAGAGGCUGGAAUGAAGGAACAUACGAGAGUAAAGCUGUUUCAUUUUCACCAAUGAAAAUUAACCUCUAGAUGAAGAGAUCUAGAUAUCAAAAAAAGACAAAAAGACCCUAUUGAGCUUUACUUUAUCAUGAAGUUUUAAAAUUACUAUCUUAAUUAAUAAAUCAUUGACAAGUUUUGUUGGGGCGACAAAAGAAGAUCUAAAUCUUCUUUUACAUAUUAGGAUAUAAACCAUACAAUGAUCCGAAUUAUCGAUUAACAGAUCCAGCUACCCUAGGGAUAACAGGCUAAUUUUCUCUGAGAGCCCAAAUUGACGAGAAAGAUUGGCACCUCGAUGUUGGCUUAGGACUCCUAUUAAAUGCAGAAGUUUUUUAAGUAGGUUUGUUCAACCUUUAAAGUCCUACGUGAU
RNAcentral lists this ribosomal RNA (519 nucleotides) under Scolelepis papillosa. RNAcentral describes it as "partial large subunit ribosomal RNA". It matches the Rfam family "Archaeal large subunit ribosomal RNA", at positions 1902 to 2673 of the family's 2987-position model. The record is from RNAcentral. Lineage: Eukaryota; Metazoa; Annelida; Polychaeta; Spionida; Spionidae.